GGAUUGUUUUCUUGCCUUCAUUCACAAAUAAUGCUGUAAAUAAUUUGAUAGAAUAUUCAUGUGGGCAUUAUGUUAUUAUUUUGUGUUCAUUAUACUUACAUUGUACAUUAUGUAUAGACAUUUAUCCAUUGUUGAAUAUAUGUUGAACUCCUGAUACAGUUGCUGUCUCAUUGACAUGCUUCAUGCCUCAUUUUAUGCAUGCAUUUAAGUCACAAGGUGCUUGUCUCUGAGUUUUUUUUCAGAAGCAAGUCCCUUCGGUACAAUGUUUUGUUUCCAGGACCAAAUACACAAGUUAUAUAUUACAAUUUUAACGAAAAGUAUUUUAUGAUAAUGCUAGUCAGGUUGUAUACAUAGUUUUUUUUCACAAUAUUACUUGAGUUGUCUUAUACAUGUAUAUAUGUUAUAUAAGUUGUCUAUAUAGUACAUGUUAUGAAACAAUAAAACAUGACUGUGAUUAUAA
Molecule: long non-coding RNA, 460 nt
Filed under: Mytilus galloprovincialis (Mediterranean mussel)
Lineage: Eukaryota; Metazoa; Mollusca; Bivalvia; Mytilida; Mytilidae
Source: RNAcentral